Molecule: ribosomal RNA, 406 nt
Filed under: uncultured bacterium
Lineage: Bacteria
Description: partial 16S ribosomal RNA
Rfam family: Bacterial small subunit ribosomal RNA
Source: RNAcentral
AUUGAACGCUGGCGGCAGGCCUAACACAUGCAAGUCGAACGAGUGGCGGACGGGUGAGUAAUGUCUGGGCAACUGCCCGAUGGAGGGGGAUAACUACUGGAAACGGUAGCUAAUACCGCAUACCAUCGGAUGUGCCCAGAUGGGAUUAGCCAGUAGGUGGGGUAACGGUUCACCUAGGCGACGCUCCCUAGCUGGUCUGAGAGGAUGACCAGCCCUACUGGAACUGGGACACGGUCAAACUUCCAACGGGAGGCGGCGGUGGGGAAUAUUGCACAAGGGGCGAAAGCCUGCUGCAGCUACGCCGCGUUUUUGAUCAAGGCCUUCGGGUUGUAAAGUACUUUCAGCGAGGAGACGUUACUCGCAGAAGAAGCACCGGCUAACUCCGUGCCAGCAGCCGCGGUAAUAC